RNAcentral lists this ribosomal RNA (460 nucleotides) under Ricania fumosa. RNAcentral describes it as "partial 16S ribosomal RNA". The stretch from base 316 to 460 matches the Rfam family "Bacterial large subunit ribosomal RNA", at positions 2473 to 2619 of the family's 2925-position model. Lineage: Eukaryota; Metazoa; Arthropoda; Insecta; Hemiptera; Ricaniidae. The record is from RNAcentral.
GCAAAGGUAGCAUAGUAAUUAGUCUUUUAAUUGAGGUCUGGAAUGAAUGGUUAGACGAGAAACAAACUUUAUUGAAAUAAAUUUUUUUAAUUUUGAUUUUGAGUUAGAAUACUUAAAUUUUAAAGGGGGACGAUAAGACCCUAUAGAUCUUAAAAAUAUUUACUUUUUAUUUUUUUUUUGUUGUUUUUUAUUUAAAUAUUAUUUAUUUUUUAGUUGGGGUGAUUAUUAAAAUUUUAAACUUUGAUUUAUUUUUACAUUUAAUUUUGGCUUAUUUUUGAUCCUUCUUUUUUGAUUAUAAGAUAAAGAUACCUUAGGGAUAACAGCGUUAUUCACUUGGAGAGUUCUAAUCGAUAAGUGAGUUUGCGACCUCGAUGUUGGAUUAAAUUUUGUUUGAGGGGUAGGUUUUACAGUUUUAGGUCUGUUCGACUUUAAAAUUUUACAUGAUCUGAGUUCAGACCGG